AGUCGAACGCUUCUUUCCUCCCGAGUGCUUGCACUCAAUUGGAAAGAGGAGUGGCGGACGGGUGAGUAACACGUGGGUAACCUACCCAUCAGAGGGGGAUAACACUUGGAAACAGGUGCUAAUACCGCAUAACAGUUUAUGCCGCAUGGCAUAAGAGUGAAAGGUGCUUUCGGGUGUCGCUGAUGGAUGGACCCGCGGUGCAUUAGCUAGUUGGUGAGGUAACGGCUCACCAAGGCCACGAUGCAUAGCCGACCUGAGAGGGUGAUCGGCCACACUGGGACUGAGACACGGCCCAGACUCCUACGGGAGGCAGCAGUAGGGAAUCUUCGGCAAUGGACGAAAGUCUGACCGAGCAACGCCGCGUGAGUGAAGAAGGUUUUCGGAUCGUAAAACUCUGUUGUUAGAGAAGAACAAGGACGUUAGUAACUGAACGUCCCCUGACGGUAUCUAACCAGAGAGCCACGGCUAACUACGUGCCAGCAGCCGCGGUAAUACGUAGGUGGCAAGCGUUGUCCGGAUUUAUUGGGCGUAAAGCGAGCGCAGGCGGUUUCUUAAGUCUGAUGUGAAAGCCCCCGGCUCAACCGGGGAGGGUCAUUGGAAACUGGGAGACUUGAGUGCAGAAGAGGAGAGUGGAAUUCCAUGUGUAGCGGUGAAAUGCGUAGAUAUAUGGAGGAACACCAGUGGCGAAGGCGGCUCUCUGGUCUGU
RNAcentral lists this ribosomal RNA (706 nucleotides) under uncultured Bacilli bacterium. RNAcentral describes it as "bacterial SSU rRNA". It matches the Rfam family "Bacterial small subunit ribosomal RNA", at positions 60 to 737 of the family's 1533-position model. Lineage: Bacteria; Bacillati; Bacillota; Bacilli. The record is from RNAcentral.